GCCUAAUGGUGAUUUCAGUAAGCUAAGGUCAUGCUUGUUUUGUGUUUACAGGCACAGUUUAUGGUGUGUUUCAUCAGAACAGCGAACUGCAAAUUCGGUGUACAAAAUAAAUCAAAAGUAAACAUACAAUCAUAUUUCAAUAAUCCAAUACUGACACUUAAAAUGCAAUAGUCACACAAGUCCUCUCAAAAACUGUCCAAGGUAAAUGUCCUACGCUAAUAUCCUACAUAGCACAUAUCUGUCGAUCAACAUUUCGUUAGGUAACGCCGCAUGUAAACAUGUAAAAACAGUGGACUGUUAACCCUAUUUCCUGCUCACAGUGCACAGAGCAGGUACUACUGGUGGAAAGCGUGUGGGACAGUGUUCCCUCCUCUUGCUGUCCGAUAGGAGCGAUCAAGAGCUCUUUGAAAGUAAUUCUGUGUUUAAAGCGUGAAGCAAGAGGACUGAGGUGAAGACAUCCUCAUUCAGCAGGGACAGAAGCAAGAGGACUGAGGUGAAGACAUCCUCAUUCAGCAGGGACAGAAGCAAGAGGACUGAGGUGAAGACAUCCUCAUUCAGCAGGGACAGAAGCUGCUACUAAUGGGAAGUUGUGUGUGUGUGUGUGUGUGUGUGUGUGUGUGUGU
Alosa alosa (allis shad) is the source of this 623-nucleotide long non-coding RNA. RefSeq lists it as uncharacterized. The transcript is spliced from 3 exons. Lineage: Eukaryota; Metazoa; Chordata; Actinopteri; Clupeiformes; Clupeidae. The record is from RefSeq and is a predicted model, not a curated record.